Molecule: long non-coding RNA, 954 nt
Filed under: Brachypodium distachyon (stiff brome)
Lineage: Eukaryota; Viridiplantae; Streptophyta; Magnoliopsida; Poales; Poaceae
Description: long non-coding RNA (BDIS_LNC005630)
Source: RNAcentral
GUGGCGUGAGCACGAGUGGAGUGAGGGGGUGCGGGGAAAAAGAGAGAGGAGGGUGCCCCUUUUAUAGUGACGCGAGAGAGAGGCUUAAACACGCGCCCUAAAUUGCGAAUUGAAGACGAGGCUUAAUGGCGGCGCGCGCUGGAUUCCCGGACGAAGCUUGAAGACAACUGACAGGCGGACCCCACCUGUCAGUGACCGUUGGCUGCGGGCGGCGCCUGGCUGGGCUGGCUCGCGGGCUGCGCGCGCGGAGUUGACUAGGCCGGUUCAGCCCAGGUUGGCCAGGCCGGUCCAUUUUUUUUUUGUUCUUUUCUUUUCUCUUUUUCUUUUUCUGUGUUUCCUUUAUAACUUAUGAUUUUGAACACCGAAUGGACUCAAAUAAAUUCCAGAAAAUUUGUAAAACCAUAUCCUUUAAUGCCAUAGCAUCUGGGACUUGAUUUCUUCCAAAAGUAAAUUAUGAAAAAUAGUUUUGCUUAUACAAUUGCCUCUAGUGCAAUAAUAUUUAGAAACAAAAUAGUUUUUCAACUCCAAAAUAAAUCCCAAAAAUUAUGCGGUAGCUCAUCUUAUUGCAUUAAACCCCUUUCUAUAUUUUUCAACCCCAUGGGUUGAAAAAUUCCAAAAAGAUGCAAAGGAGAUAUUUAAAAGGGGAAAAGGCUUAAUAAAAGUUUUUAAAAUUUUAAAUCUUUGGUUUAAAAGUGCUCAAGUGUAUGAAUGGUAUGAUGUUCAUGAGUGCAAAUCCAUGAUGCAAAGUUUGGGAAAAUUGGGAUGUUACAAGUUCCUCAAGAGAUACCGGUCGUUUAUACGUAGCUUUGAAGGUGCGCGUGAAUGCCUGGACCAACUUGUCCCAUGAGGUGAUUUCGCCAUCGUGUAGGCUAUUCAACCAGGUGCUAGCUAGUCUUGACAGCGAAUCCUAGCAAGAUAGUCUUCCAGCCAAGUCCUGGGCUCCUGAGUGCCGUC